AUUCCUUAAAGGCUGUAGAAAUCAAUAAAUAUUAAUGCAACUUUAUUAACUCAUUUGACACACUUGUAUUUUAUCAGAUUGAAAAAUAGGUUAUUUACUAUUUAGAGAAAUAAACUUAAGAGAAAAGCUUUCGAUAUAUAGAAGAAAAUUGCACAAUCUACGAACGAUAUUGGAAAAAUAAAAGAACAUUUACUAGAAUAAGAUAAACAGAUGAUUUCAUCUUAUAUCGAAAUCGCGUUGUGUCUCUCAUUCUGUUCGAACAUCAGAUCUCCAAAAUGUAUAAUGGCCAUUACAUUAAUAAAUAAUAAAAAGCAAUAAAUUGCGUAAAAAUAAAGCGAU
Molecule: long non-coding RNA, 339 nt
Organism: Centruroides sculpturatus (bark scorpion)
Lineage: Eukaryota; Metazoa; Arthropoda; Arachnida; Scorpiones; Buthidae
Exons: 3
Source: RefSeq, a predicted model, not a curated record